UUAUUUCGUGCUUCUUUCUUUCAACAAUGAACCCUCUCACUCAGUCUGUCUAGUCCCAAACAAACAGUUGAAAUUUUACUUGUAUUUGAUCGUAUUUCCUUGACUUGUUUCAUUCCAGAUUUACAUCGCAUCACGUAGUUGUUAUCUCCUCAAUCGGUUCUUUGAGCAACAUCAGGGGAACAAUGCAGAGUCACGAAGCAGUAAUAAUUGGGGGAAUGGUGCUGGACAUUCAUGCCAUACCUUCAAUCCAUGCAAACCCAGGAACUACUACCCCUGGCAAGGUCUAUUAUUUCCGAGGAGGUGUUGCAAGGAAUAUAGCAGAGUGCAUGUCAAAGCUUGGAGCAAAGCCAUUCAUGAUUAGUGCUAUCGGUUCUGACAUGGCUGGAAAUCUAUUAUGGGAACAUUGGAAGUCGGCUGAUCUAUCUACAGAAGGAAUUUUGAAGGAUAAAGAUAUUGAUACUCCAGUUGUGUGCAAUAUAUUCGAUGUUAAUGGCGAGGUAGCAGCUGCUGUUGCUAGUGUGGAAGCUCUGGAAAAAUGUCUGACACCUGACUGGAUCCUGCACUUCAAGCACACUUUACUUUCUGCUCCAAUGUUAAUGGUUGAUGCAAAUCUGAGUUGUACUUCCCUCGAAGCUUCUUGUAAAAUGGCAGCUGACACAGGGUGUCCAGUCUGGUUUGAGCCAGUGUCAGUUACUAAAUCCCGAAGAAUCACCUCUAUUGCCAAGUAUGUAACUUUUGCUUCUCCAAAUGAAGAUGAACUUGUUGCAAUGGCAAAUGCUUUAUCUGGCAGUGAUGUGUUCCGUCCACUGAAAGAAAACCAUAAUAAAGAUAACUUUUCAACAUUAUCUUUGUUUCAAAUGUUGAAACCAGCAGUGUGGGUUCUGCUAGAAAAAGGCAUUAAAGUGGUCCUAGUGACCUUAGGCUCAAAUGGAGUGUUUUUAUGUAGUAAAGGAGGGCCAAGCUGCUUUAAAGUUCCUGUAGAGAAAACAAAUCAGGGUGGUUUUGGUGGACAGUUAUACAAGACUGUUAUGCAAAAGUGUCCACCUAAUAGUUAUUCUGUUUUUUCAGAACUUGAAAGAAGCUCUCAUGUCUUUGCUGUGCAUUUUCCGUCACUUCCUGCUUCAGUCGUAAGGCUUACGGGGGCUGGUGAUUGCUUAGUUGGUGGAAUACUAACAUCAAUUUGUGCAGGAUUAGAUAUUAUGCAAAGUGUGUCUGUUGGCACUGCUGUGGCUAAAGCUGCUGUUGAGGUUGAGGCAAAUGUUCCUUCUGCUUUCAACUUAGCUGCUAUUGCAGGUUAGCAUCCGUGAUAACAAAUCAUUUCACGUCGUAUAUUUUUGUGAUCGGAGACCUUGCAGCAUGCUGGACUUGAAUCUGUUUGACAAAAGCAUAAUUCAGCUGAAGCCAAAUAAGUAUUUUUGAAUUCUCAAGCAAAUUGCAUAAGAAAUGAUGCUAAAUCUGUGUUAAGUGGUGCCAAAGUGCUCUUCCACCAAUCAAUGCUGUAAAUUUUUGAAUGAGGAUCACAUUUGAUGAACAGCUUGAGCCGUGAUAUAACAACCUCCAUUGGCCGAGGGGAAAAAUAAAUAUGGUACCUCAUCCCAAGGUUUUAUGGCAUUGACGUAGGAGAAACUCUUUGGAAUUUUCAGAAUCUACACAUUUAUCUAAAGGAGUUUAAUUAAUCUGCAAUGUUUUGCAUUGGACACACGGACAUGUUAGUAUACUCAAUUAGUUCACUAACAUUAUAUGAGAGGUACCAUCGGGUUUUGAUUUAUUCACAUCAUACUUUCUCGUUCUA
Molecule: RNA transcript, 1792 nt
Organism: Lotus japonicus
Lineage: Eukaryota; Viridiplantae; Streptophyta; Magnoliopsida; Fabales; Fabaceae
Gene name: pseudouridine kinase
Exons: 9
Source: RefSeq, a predicted model, not a curated record